RNAcentral lists this ribosomal RNA (521 nucleotides) under uncultured bacterium. RNAcentral's name for it is "bacterial SSU rRNA". It matches the Rfam family "Bacterial small subunit ribosomal RNA", at positions 8 to 518 of the family's 1533-position model. The record is from RNAcentral.
AGAGUUUGAUCCUGGCUCAGGAUGAACGCUAGCUAUAGGCUUAACACAUGCAAGUCGAGGGGCAGCAUGGGAGUUGCUGCAAUUCCUGAUGGCGACCGGCGCACGGGUGAGUAACGCGUAUCCAACCUUCCCCUUAGUAGGGCAUAGCCCGGUGAAAAUCGGAUUAAUACCCUAUGUUCUUCACAGCAGACAUCUAACGUGAAGCAAAGGUUUACCGCUAAGGGAUGGGGAUGCGUCUGAUUAGGUAGUAGGCGGGGUAACGGCCCACCUAGCCUUCGAUCAGUAGGGGUUCUGAGAGGAAGGUCCCCCACAUUGGAACUGAGACACGGUCCAAACUCCUACGGGAGGCAGCAGUGAGGAAUAUUGGUCAAUGGGCGAGAGCCUGAACCAGCCAAGUAGCCGUGCAGGAUGACGGCCCUAUGGGUUGUAAACUGCUUUUAUAUGGGGAUAAAGUUCACCACGUGUGGUGUUUUGUAGGUACCAUAUGAAUAAGGACCGGCUAAUUCCGUGCCAGCCGCGGC